AUUGAACGCUGGCGGUAUGCCUUACACAUGCAAGUCGAACGGCAGCACGGACUUCGGUCUGGUGGCGAGUGGCGAACGGGUGAGUAAUGUACCGGAACGUACCUUUCAGUGGGGGAUAACGUAGCGAAAGUUACGCUAAUACCGCAUAUUCUGUGAGCAGGAAACCAGGGGAUCGAAAGACCUUGCGCUGAUUGAGCGGCCGACAUCAGAUUAGCUAGCUGGUGGGGUAAAGGCCUACCAAGGCGACGAUCUGUAGCGGGUCUGAGAGGAUGAUCCGCCACACUGGAACUGAGACACGGUCCAGACUCCUACGGGAGGCAGCAGUGGGGAAUUUUGGGCAAUGGGGGCAACCCUGAUCCAGCCAUGCCGCGUGAGUGAAGAAGGCCUUCGGGUUGUAAAGCUCUUUCGGCCGGGAAGAAAUCGCUUAGGCUGAUACCCUGUGUGGAUGACGGUACCGGAAUAAGAAGCACCGGCUAACUACGUG
RNAcentral lists this ribosomal RNA (484 nucleotides) under uncultured bacterium. RNAcentral's name for it is "partial 16S ribosomal RNA". It matches the Rfam family "Bacterial small subunit ribosomal RNA", at positions 30 to 507 of the family's 1533-position model. The record is from RNAcentral.